AUUGAACGCUGGCGGCAGGCUUAACACAUGCAAGUCGAACGAUGACUCUCUAGCUUGCUAGAGAAGAUUAGUGGCGGACGGGUGAGUAACAUUUAGGAAUCUGCCUAGUAGUGGGGGAUAGCUCGGGGAAACUCGAAUUAAUACCGCAUACGACCUACGGGUGAAAGGGGGCGCAAGCUCUUGCUAUUAGAUGAGCCUAAAUCAGAUUACCUAGUUGGUGGGGUAAAGGCCUACCAAGGCGACGAUCUGUAACUGGUCUGAGAGGAUGAUCAGUCACACCGGAACUGAGACACGGUCCGGACUCCUACGGGAGGCAGCAGUGGGGAAUAUUGGACAAUGGGGGCAACCCUGAUCCAGCCAUGCCGCGUGUGUGAAGAAGGCCUUUUGGUUGUAAAGCACUUUAAGCAGGGAGGAGAGGCUAAUGGUUAAUACCCAUUAGAUUAGACGUUACCUGCAGAAUAAGCACCGGCUAACUCUGUGCCAGCAGCCGCGGUAAUACAGAGGGUGCGAGCGUUAAUCGGAAUUACUGGGCGUAAAGCGAGUGUAGGUGGCUCAUUAAGUCACAUGUGAAAUCCCCGGGCUUAACCUGGGAACUGCAUGUGAUACUGGUGGUGCUAGAAUAUGUGAGAGGGAAGUAGAAUUCCAGGUGUAGCGGUGAAAUGCGUAGAGAUCUGGAGGAAUACCGAUGGCGAAGGCAGCUUCCUGGCAUAAUAUUGACACUGAGAUUCGAAAGCGUGGGUAGCAAACAGGAUUAGAUACCCUGGUAGUCCACGCCGUAAACGAUGUCUACUAGCCGUUGGGGUCCUUGAGACUUUAGUGGCGCAGUUAACGCGAUAAGUAGACCGCCUGGGGAGUACGGCCGCAAGGUUAAAACUCAAAUGAAUUGACGGGGGCCCGCACAAGCGGUGGAGCAUGUGGUUUAAUUCGAUGCAACGCGAAGAACCUUACCUGGUCUUGACAUAGUGAGAAUCCUGCAGAGAUGCGGGAGUGCCUUCGGGAACUCACAUACAGGUGCUGCAUGGCUGUCGUCAGCUCGUGUCGUGAGAUGUUGGGUUAAGUCCCGCAACGAGCGCAACCCUUUUCCUUAUUUGCCAGCGGGUUAAGCCGGGAACUUUAAGGAUACUGCCAGUGACAAACUGGGGGAAGGCGGGGACGACGUCAAGUCAUCAUGGCCCUUACGACCAGGGCUACACACGUGCUACAAUGGUAGGUACAGAGGGUUGCUACACAGCGAUGUGAUGCUAAUCUCAAAAAGCCUAUCGUAGUCCGGAUUGGAGUCUGCAACUCGACUCCAUGAAGUCGGAAUCGCUAGUAAUCGCGGAUCAGAAUGCCGCGGUGAAUACGUUCCCGGGCCU
This 1355-nucleotide ribosomal RNA is filed under the name uncultured bacterium. RNAcentral's name for it is "bacterial SSU rRNA". It matches the Rfam family "Bacterial small subunit ribosomal RNA", at positions 28 to 1381 of the family's 1533-position model. The record is from RNAcentral.